CCUACGGGAGGCUGCAGUGGGGAAUAUUGGGCAAUGGGCGCAAGCCUGACCCAGCAACGCCGCGUGAAGGAAGAAGGCUUUCGGGUUGUAAACUUCUUUUCUGAGGGACGAAGAAAGUGACGGUACCCCAGGAAUAAGCCACGGCUAACCACGUGCCAGCAGCCGCGGUAAUACGUAGGUGGCAAGCGUUAUCCGGAUGUAUUGGGUGUAAAGGGCGUGUAGGCGGGAAAGCAAGUCAGAUGUGAAAACUCAGGGCUCAACCCUGAGCCUGCAUUUGAACCUGUUUUUCUUGAGUGCGGGAGAGGCAAUCGGAAUUCCGUGUGUAGCGGUGAAAUGCGUAGAUAUACGGAGGAACACUAGUGGCGAAGGCGGAUUGCUGGACAGUAACUGACGCUGAGGCGCGAAAGCGUGGGGAGCAAACAGGAUUAGAUACCCGUGUAGUC
Molecule: ribosomal RNA, 443 nt
Filed under: uncultured bacterium
Lineage: Bacteria
Description: partial 16S ribosomal RNA
Rfam family: Bacterial small subunit ribosomal RNA
Source: RNAcentral